UGUAACUUUGGAUAUUUUAGGCUUAUCGUGGCUGUAGAUAUUUUUGUUUUCGAGGCAUGCACAAAAUGCCAUUGGCUGCUUGCUACUGUGGUGUUCAUGCACCAAGCUGUACUGGUCGAAUUUAUUCCGCGCAGAGCAUCAUGCUCCCAUAAAGAGCAAUCUAAAAUUGAAGUUGGGUUGUACGCUUCAUGAAAGGGAAAAAUGUAACUUGUAGUGUUUUCCAUGGCUGCUG
RNAcentral lists this long non-coding RNA (232 nucleotides) under Setaria italica (foxtail millet). RNAcentral describes it as "long non-coding RNA (SITA_LNC004954)". Lineage: Eukaryota; Viridiplantae; Streptophyta; Magnoliopsida; Poales; Poaceae. The record is from RNAcentral.